GACGAACGCUGGCGGCGUGCUUAACACAUGCAAGUCGAACGGUGAAGGGACCAGCUUGCUGGUGCUGGAUGAGUGGCGAACGGGUGAGUAACACGUGAGUAACCUGCCCCCUUCUUCUGGAUAACCGCAUGAAAGUGUGGCUAAUACGGGAUAUUCUGGGUCUGUCGCAUGGCGGGCCCGGGAAAGAUAUUGCUUCGGUGGGGGAUGGGCUCGCGGCCUAUCAGCUUGUUGGUGGGGUGAUGGCCUUCCAAGGCGGGGACGGGUAGCCGGCCUGGGAGGGGGGAAGGUCACAAUGGGACUGAGACACGGCCCAGACUCCUACGGGAGGCAGCAGUGGGGAAGAUUGCACAAUGGGCGCAAGCCUGAUGCAGCGACGCCGCGUGAGGGAUGGAGGCCUUCGGGUUGUAAACCUCUUUCGCCAGUGAAGCAGGCCUGCUCCUUGUGGGUGGGUUGACGGUAGCUGGAUAAGAAGCGCCGGCUAACUACGUG
Molecule: ribosomal RNA, 489 nt
Filed under: uncultured bacterium
Lineage: Bacteria
Description: partial 16S ribosomal RNA
Rfam family: Bacterial small subunit ribosomal RNA
Source: RNAcentral